This 624-nucleotide ribosomal RNA is filed under the name uncultured bacterium. RNAcentral describes it as "bacterial SSU rRNA". It matches the Rfam family "Bacterial small subunit ribosomal RNA", at positions 338 to 1415 of the family's 1533-position model. The record is from RNAcentral.
CCUACGGGAGGCAGCAGUGGGGAAUUUUGGACAAUGGGCGCAAGCCUGAUCCAGCCAUGCCGCGUGCGGGAAGAAGGCCUUCGGGUUGUAAACCGCUUUUGUUCGGGAAGAAAUUGACUGGGCUAAUACCCCGGUUAGAUGACGGUACCGGAAGAAUAAGCACCGGCUAACUACGUGCCAGCAGCCGCGGUAAUACGUAGGGUGCGAGCGUUAAUCGGAAUUACUGGGCGUAAAGCGUGCGCAGGCGGUUUCGCAAGUCAGAUGUGAAAGCCCCGGGCUCAACCUGGGAACUGCAUUUGAAACUACGAAGCUAGAGUGUGUCAGAGGGGGGUAGAAUUCCACGUGUAGCAGUGAAAUGCGUAGAGAUGUGGAGGAAUACCAAUGGCGAAGGCAGCCCCCUGGGAUAACACUGACGCUCAUGCACGAAAGCGUGGGGAGCAAACAGGAUUAGAUACCCUGGUAGUCCCACGACCUAACCGACUAGUCACUAGUUGUCGGGUAGGACAUCUUCGUACGCAGCUACGCGUGAGUAGACCGCCGUGGGAGUACGGUCGCGAGAAUUAAACGUUAAAGUAAGUUAGACGGCGUAGAGACGUGCCGACGGACGACGACGAGGGAGGUAGG